This 620-nucleotide ribosomal RNA is filed under the name Flavobacterium sp. So2Pw_1383. RNAcentral describes it as "bacterial SSU rRNA". It matches the Rfam family "Bacterial small subunit ribosomal RNA", at positions 395 to 1016 of the family's 1533-position model. The record is from RNAcentral. Lineage: Bacteria; Pseudomonadati; Bacteroidota; Flavobacteriia; Flavobacteriales; Flavobacteriaceae.
UGCCGCGUGCAGGAUGACGGUCCUAUGGAUUGUAAACUGCUUUUGCACAGGAAGAAACAACGCUACGUGUAGCGUCUUGACGGUACUGUGAGAAUAAGGAUCGGCUAACUCCGUGCCAGCAGCCGCGGUAAUACGGAGGAUCCAAGCGUUAUCCGGAAUCAUUGGGUUUAAAGGGUCCGUAGGCGGUUUAGUAAGUCAGUGGUGAAAGCCCAUCGCUCAACGGUGGAACGGCCAUUGAUACUGCUAGACUUGAAUUAUUAGGAAGUAACUAGAAUAUGUAGUGUAGCGGUGAAAUGCUUAGAGAUUACAUGGAAUACCAAUUGCGAAGGCAGGUUACUACUAAUGGAUUGACGCUGAUGGACGAAAGCGUGGGUAGCGAACAGGAUUAGAUACCCUGGUAGUCCACGCCGUAAACGAUGGAUACUAGCUGUUGGGAGCGAUCUCAGUGGCUAAGCGAAAGUGAUAAGUAUCCCACCUGGGGAGUACGUUCGCAAGAAUGAAACUCAAAGGAAUUGACGGGGGCCCGCACAAGCGGUGGAGCAUGUGGUUUAAUUCGAUGAUACGCGAGGAACCUUACCAAGGCUUAAAUGUAGAUUGACCGGUUUGGAAACAGACUUUUC